RNAcentral lists this ribosomal RNA (1528 nucleotides) under Escherichia coli 2-156-04_S3_C2. Its description in RNAcentral is "bacterial SSU rRNA". It matches the Rfam family "Bacterial small subunit ribosomal RNA". Lineage: Bacteria; Pseudomonadati; Pseudomonadota; Gammaproteobacteria; Enterobacterales; Enterobacteriaceae. The record is from RNAcentral.
GAGUUUGAUCAUGGCUCAGAUUGAACGCUGGCGGCAGGCCUAACACAUGCAAGUCGAACGGUAACAGGAAUCAGCUUGCUGAUUCGCUGACGAGUGGCGGACGGGUGAGUAAUGUCUGGGAAACUGCCUGAUGGAGGGGGAUAACUACUGGAAACGGUAGCUAAUACCGCAUAACGUCGCAAGACCAAAGAGGGGGACCUUCGGGCCUCUUGCCAUCGGAUGUGCCCAGAUGGGAUUAGCUAGUAGGUGGGGUAACGGCUCACCUAGGCGACGAUCCCUAGGUGGUCUGAGAGGAUGACCAGCCACACUGGAACUGAGACACGGUCCAGACUCCUACGGGAGGCAGCAGUGGGGAAUAUUGCACAAUGGGCGCAAGCCUGAUGCAGCCAUGCCGCGUGUAUGAAGAAGGCCUUCGGGUUGUAAAGUACUUUCAGCGGGGAGGAAGGGAGUAAAGUUAAUACCUUUGCUCAUUGACGUUACCCGCAGAAGAAGCACCGGCUAACUCCGUGCCAGCAGCCGCGGUAAUACGGAGGGUGCAAGCGUUAAUCGGAAUUACUGGGCGUAAAGCGCACGCAGGCGGUUUGUUAAGUCAGAUGUGAAAUCCCCGGGCUCAACCUGGGAACUGCAUCUGAUACUGGCAAGCUUGAGUCUCGUAGAGGGGGGUAGAAUUCCAGGUGUAGCGGUGAAAUGCGUAGAGAUCUGGAGGAAUACCGGUGGCGAAGGCGGCCCCCUGGACGAAGACUGACGCUCAGGUGCGAAAGCGUGGGGAGCAAACAGGAUUAGAUACCCUGGUAGUCCACGCCGUAAACGAUGUCGACUUGGAGGUUGUGCCCUUGAGGCGUGGCUUCCGGAGCUAACGCGUUAAGUCGACCGCCUGGGGAGUACGGCCGCAAGGUUAAAACUCAAAUGAAUUGACGGGGGCCCGCACAAGCGGUGGAGCAUGUGGUUUAAUUCGAUGCAACGCGAAGAACCUUACCUGGUCUUGACAUCCACGGAAGUUUUCAGAGAUGAGAAUGUGCCUUCGGGAACCGUGAGACAGGUGCUGCAUGGCUGUCGUCAGCUCGUGUUGUGAAAUGUUGGGUUAAGUCCCGCAACGAGCGCAACCCUUAUCCUUUGUUGCCAGCGGUCCGGCCGGGAACUCAAAGGAGACUGCCAGUGAUAAACUGGAGGAAGGUAGGGAUGACGUCAAGUCAUCAUGGCCCUUACGACCAGGGCUACACACGUGCUACAAUGGCGCAUACAAAGAGAAGCGACCUCGCGAGAGCAAGCGGACCUCAUAAAGUGCGUCGUAGUCCGGAUUGGAGUCUGCAACUCGACUCCAUGAAGUCGGAAUCGCUAGUAAUCGUGGAUCAGAAUGCCACGGUGAAUACGUUCCCGGGCCUUGUACACACCGCCCGUCACACCAUGGGAGUGGGUUGCAAAAGAAGUAGGUAGCUUAACCUUCGGGAGGGCGCUUACCACUUUGUGAUUCAUGACUGGGGUGAAGUCGUAACAAGGUAACCGUAGGGGAACCUGCGGUUGGAUCACC